UGCCUCUCAGGGUCACACCUGGAGAGUUUCCAGUACUCUAGCAUUCUCGACUAUGGGAGGGAGAGUCAAGCAGAGGCCUAUCCAUUUCAUUCCUACCUUGGGCAGUGGCUAGCGAGUGGAAGACAAUCUGCUACAAGG
Molecule: small nucleolar RNA, 138 nt
Filed under: Ornithorhynchus anatinus (platypus)
Lineage: Eukaryota; Metazoa; Chordata; Mammalia; Monotremata; Ornithorhynchidae
Source: RNAcentral